Molecule: ribosomal RNA, 253 nt
Filed under: uncultured bacterium
Lineage: Bacteria
Description: partial 16S ribosomal RNA
Rfam family: Bacterial small subunit ribosomal RNA
Source: RNAcentral
UACGUAGGUGGCAAGCGUUGUCCGGAUUUACUGGGCGUAAAGAGCGCGCAGGCGGUCGUGCAAGUCGCGUGUGAAAGCCCCCGGCUCAACUGGGGAGGGUCACGCGAUACUGCUCGACUCGAAGGCAGGAGAGGGAAGUGGAAUUCCCGGUGUAGUGGUGAAAUGCGUAGAUAUCGGGAGGAACAUCAGUGGCGAAGGCGACUUCCUGGCCUGUUCUUGACGCUGAGGCGCGAAAGCUAGGGUAGCAAACGGG